UGUGUGUGUGUGUGUGUGUGUGUGUGUGUGUGUUAUGAUACACACACACACGUAAGCACACAAGCAUAUG
Podarcis lilfordi (Lilford's wall lizard) is the source of this 70-nucleotide non-coding RNA. The record is from the annotation of a GenBank genome assembly. NCBI's taxonomy places the organism in Eukaryota, Metazoa, Chordata, Lepidosauria, Squamata, Lacertidae.